This 391-nucleotide long non-coding RNA is filed under the name Homo sapiens (human). RNAcentral's name for it is "non-protein coding lnc-SLC45A4-3:4". The record is from RNAcentral. Lineage: Eukaryota; Metazoa; Chordata; Mammalia; Primates; Hominidae.
GGCAGCUCCCCACUUUCCCGAUGGAGGAAAGGAGCCGAGGAAGAUCAUCCAGUCACUCGAUGGGGAUUACCAGCGGACCACCUGUUUGUAUCACCUUCCCACCUCUCUGUAGCAAGAAAAAUCACUUCAGCACCUCUUCAGUAAUAAUGAUGAAACUGGUAUUAACUGAAUGGCAAUUAUGGAUUUUUAACUCUAAUUCACAGUAAACCAGCAAGCCAUAUGUUUAAAAUCCAACCAAAAAUCGUUCUGUGUUGCUGCAUGUCUCAUACCGUUGUGAGAAGUUGUGAGAUAGCCACUUGUGCAAAGAGGAAUGUAAGUGUUACCUGCCCGAGGAACACAGCAGAAGCAGAAAGAGAAGACGUCUUAAUUUAUCAUUACAGAUAUAUGAAAG